Molecule: ribosomal RNA, 111 nt
Filed under: Pongo abelii (Sumatran orangutan)
Lineage: Eukaryota; Metazoa; Chordata; Mammalia; Primates; Hominidae
Source: RNAcentral
AUCUACGGCCAUACCACUCUGAACACGCCCCAUUUCGUCUGAUCUUGGAAGCUAAGCAGGGUCGGGCCUGGUUAGUGCUUGGAUGGGAGAUGGAGUCUCGCUCUGUCACUC